RNAcentral lists this ribosomal RNA (454 nucleotides) under uncultured Leuconostoc sp. RNAcentral describes it as "bacterial SSU rRNA". It matches the Rfam family "Bacterial small subunit ribosomal RNA", at positions 1047 to 1502 of the family's 1533-position model. Lineage: Bacteria; Bacillati; Bacillota; Bacilli; Lactobacillales; Lactobacillaceae. The record is from RNAcentral.
GGUCGUCGUCAGCUCGUGUCGUGAGAUGUUGGGUUAAGUCCCGCAACGAGCGCAACCCUUAUUGUUAGUUGCCAGCAUUCAGUUGGGCACUCUAGCGAGACUGCCGGUGACAAACCGGAGGAAGGCGGGGACGACGUCAGAUCAUCAUGCCCCUUAUGACCUGGGCUACACACGUGCUACAAUGGCGUAUACAACGAGUUGCCAACCUGCGAAGGUGAGCUAAUCUCUUAAAGUACGUCUCAGUUCGGACUGCAGUCUGCAACUCGACUGCACGAAGUCGGAAUCGCUAGUAAUCGCGGAUCAGCACGCCGCGGUGAAUACGUUCCCGGGUCUUGUACACACCGCCCGUCACACCAUGGGAGUUUGUAAUGCCCAAAGCCGGUGGCCUAACCUUCGGGAGGGAGCCGUCUAAGGCAGGACAGAUGACUGGGGUGAAGUCGUAACAAGGUAACCA